AGUCGGAAUUGCUAGUAAUCGCGGAUCAGCAUGCCGCGGUGAAUACGUUCCCGGGCCUUGUACACACCGCCCGUCACACCAUGAGAGUCGGGAACACCCGAAGUCCGUAGUCUAACCGCAAGGAGGACGCGGCCGAAGGUGGGCUUGAUAAUUGGGGUGAAGUCGUAACAAGGUAAC
RNAcentral lists this ribosomal RNA (177 nucleotides) under uncultured bacterium. Its description in RNAcentral is "partial 16S ribosomal RNA". It matches the Rfam family "Bacterial small subunit ribosomal RNA", at positions 1324 to 1500 of the family's 1533-position model. The record is from RNAcentral.